UUUUGUGGGGUGCUCGAGUGGCGAACGGGUGAGUAACACGGGAGUAACCUGCCCUUGACUUUGGGAUAACUUCGGGAAACUGGGGCUAAUACCGGAUAGGAGCUCCUGCUGCAUGGUGGGGGUUGGAAAGUUUCGGCGGUUGGGGAUGGACUCGCGGCUUAUCAGCUUGUUGGUGGGGUAGUGGCUUACCAAGGCUUUGACGGGUAGCCGGCCUGAGAGGGUGACCGGCCACAUUGGGACUGAGAUACGGCCCAG
Molecule: ribosomal RNA, 255 nt
Filed under: uncultured Actinomycetales bacterium
Lineage: Bacteria; Bacillati; Actinomycetota; Actinomycetes; Actinomycetales
Description: partial 16S ribosomal RNA
Rfam family: Bacterial small subunit ribosomal RNA
Source: RNAcentral